CUUUUCUCUGCCUCUUGUCUCUCCCUCCCCUCCCCCCAGGACAGAAUUAUAUCGGUCACUGUUUGGCAAGCAGGCCCGCCUGGAAGAAGGACACCAAGCGUAGUGAUCCAUAGGAAACCUUUGGAGGUUCUGGAAUGUGGGAGAAGUUCUCGGUUUGGAUCGUCCCACCACCCUACAGGCCUCGCUCAGGAGAGCCAAGGUACAACCAAUUUUGACCAUUCAAAAUUAAAACAGCACUAAAAAAAGUGACUCGUUUCACACUUAACAACCGUUGUGGCAUUUUCCACAGUCACAUGAUAAAAAUUUGGACCCUUGGCAACUGGCAUGUAUUCUGGGAGUUAAAGUCUACAGAUGUGAUGACCCGGGGCAAGACAUCACACGAAGGCAACACAGUCAGCUGAUAGUUCAAAACUCCCCUUUAUUACUCCCAACUUUCCCCCAAACACUCCCACGUUUAUGGCAAGUCCCAAAGCAAAGCACUCACACACACACUUCCAGCAGCCUCUGGCUGUGAGUAGUCCAGCAAAACGCUGUUAGCACAAUGGCUUCAAGGCAAGAAGUCCAGUGGGUCAAGAGAAUCAGUCAAGGAGUCCAACGAAGCAAAGGAACAAGGCAAGAUGUCCACUGAACUCCAGAUGUCGGCAAAGGCACACCAAACUCCAUGAAUUCAGCUUUUGUUUCUGACAAAUGCCCCUCCCCACAGUGUCUCCUUAAGUCUCAGUCCCCAGGUGUGUCUUGUGAAGAGGAGCGGGGCAUUCUCCUCCCAAGUUGUCCGGUCAGCCUGCGCUGUUGCUGCCUCCUCUCCUCUCUCCAUGCUCGAGGAUCAGGAGGAGGCGGUCCUUGCUCGUCACCUGAGCUCUGUCGCUCCUCGUCUCUACUGCCUGCCCUCUCUUUCCCCCCAUCUCAGUCAUCUUGCCCCUGUUCUUCCCUGCUGGCAAGCCAUCCCAAACCUGAGGGACUCGGGGCUGCCUCAUCCUGCUCCCCGCGUUCCUCCGAAGCCAGCGAGGCCACCCCUUUGACCUUCUUCAGCCCCAGCUCCAGCUUGUCGUCCUCUGCAGCAAAGCUUCGACGGGGCCAUGACACUAGGUUUUAAAGUUGCCAAGAUUGGGCAUCCCUGCUCUUUAAGGGUUUCAAGAAGGACUGAAAACUUUCUAGUUAGGGUAGCGGGUAUUUUGAAACGGGAGGAUUUCAAACUUUGAAAGAUUUGAAACUUGAAUCCUUGUGCAAACGCCUGCAAAGAAUAUUCCUCCGCUGAAAAACGGGCCUUUUAUUUGCACAUGGAGGAUUUGUUUGCUUAUUAAAUUGUGGGUUACUUCAGACCUCCCUUAAUACUUCAAAAAGAUGCUUGAACUAAGAUUUCGGUAAUAUGCAAGUACUCUACAAAUGUAAUGAUUCAUUAACUCGGUUCACCGAAAGGGGCCUAAUUAACUAAUUGGUUUGACAGUCUUGUUUUAUUAUCUACUGUGUACUUUGGUGUUUUUUUUUUUUUUUUAAUAAAUACAGUUUAUUAUUCUGAGCACCGUAAAUUAGAUUUGCAAGUUUAACCUUUCCGUGUAUAAACUCAGUUAUAUUCCUCUGGGCUGGGGUUUUAUGACAUGGUCACUCAUGGCUAAGUAAACUGUGGUUUAUUAAUCGGUUUAUUUAUGGCUUACUAUCUUCUGUAAACACACUUUGAUUAUUGAAAGAAAGGAGAAGAUGAAUGUAUAGGAAGGUGGAAUUUAAAAACAUUUCUUUGGGGUUUAGUGGAAGAAGACCCGGAGAAAAAAAAAUUCGGAACUUUGAU
Pantherophis guttatus is the source of this 1783-nucleotide non-coding RNA. The record is from RefSeq and is a predicted model, not a curated record. Lineage: Eukaryota; Metazoa; Chordata; Lepidosauria; Squamata; Colubridae.